GACGAACGCUGGCGGCGUGCCUAAUACAUGCAAGUCGAGCGAAGUUUUUCUGGUGCUUGCACUAGAAAAACUUAGCGGCGAACGGGUGAGUAACACGUAAAGAACCUGCCUCAUAGACUGGGACAACUAUUGGAAACGAUAGCUAAUACCGGAUAACAGUAUUUCUCGCAUGAGAGAUAUUUAAAAGUUGGUUAUGCUAACACUAUGAGAUGGCUUUGCGGUGCAUUAGCUAGUUGGUGGUGUAAAGGCCCACCAAGGCGACGAUGCAUAGCCGACCUGAGAGGGUGAUCGGCCACACUGGGACUGAGACACGGCCCAGACUCCUACGGGAGGCAGCAGUAGGGAAUCUUCCGCAAUGGGCGAAAGCCUGACGGAGCAAUGCCGCGUGAGUGAAGAAGGAUUUCGGUUCGUAAAGCUCUGUUGUUAGGGAAGAAUGGAUAUGUAGUAACUAUACAUGUAAGAGACGGUACCUAACCAGAAAGCCACGGCUAACUACGUG
RNAcentral lists this ribosomal RNA (499 nucleotides) under uncultured bacterium. Its description in RNAcentral is "partial 16S ribosomal RNA". It matches the Rfam family "Bacterial small subunit ribosomal RNA", at positions 28 to 507 of the family's 1533-position model. The record is from RNAcentral.